This 249-nucleotide ribosomal RNA is filed under the name uncultured bacterium. Its description in RNAcentral is "partial 16S ribosomal RNA". It matches the Rfam family "Bacterial small subunit ribosomal RNA", at positions 527 to 776 of the family's 1533-position model. The record is from RNAcentral.
CAGAGUGCCAAGCGUUAGGCGGAAUCACUGGGCUUAAAGCGUGUGUAGGCGGAACGUUAAGUGCCUUGUGAAAUCCCACGGCUCAACCGUGGAACUGCUGGGCAUACUGGCGUUCUUGAGCCAGCCAGGGGUCGUCGGACAAACGGUGGAGCGGUGAAAUGCGUAGAUAUCGUUUGGAACGCCAAAGGCGAAAGCAGACGACUGGGGCUGAGCUGACGCUGAGACACGAAGGCCAGGGGAGCAAACGGG